AUUCACAAGGCUCCGUCCUCAUGUCUUAGUCACCUCCCUAAGGCCCCAUCUCUUAAAAACAACACAUCGGGGAUUAAAUUUCAACAUAUGAAUUUUGGACGGACACAAACAUUGUCACUCUUUGAGUUGAACUGCCAACAUGACUCAAACGUUUCCUUCUUAAUGUAAACAAAAGGGCAAGCAUCCCAACAAAAUUAAAUUCAUUUGACUAAAUAAUAGCCCAGAGCUUUAAAAUUAAUUGCUUGAACAACUGUAAUAUAAGCCCAGAGAAACAAGCUGUUACAUAGUGGAAUGAGAAGAGUCAGGGGAAGUAUGAUUUUUACAGGCUGUGGUAAAAAUUAUUGUUACAUAAAGCUAUAAAGCUAUUUGUGGGCCUAACAGAAGUUUUCUCUUUUUUUCUCCUAAUGCUUUUAACUUACAAUGAGAAAGGAAGCAUAGAAAAUUGGAAAGUUCACGGAAUAUGAUUUUCAGCUCUUCCACUAGAUAUGUAGCCUUGAGCAGAGACAGUUCCAUUUAAGCAGGGUACCUCACGGCAGAAAAUCCGGGGAUUCCAAGGCGGAAGGCUGGCUCAGAAGUCCUUUGGAAAACCUUACAAAAAUACAGAUCCCCUCACCAUGGCCUAUCGCCCCGAAGCCGAAAUCUAGCUUGUAUAGUUCCUGGGAGAAACAGCCUUGAAUGGAAACCUCCCUCCCGCGGGUCGAUCUUACCUGCUAGGUAAGAGGCAACCCAGCUCCCGCGCCCCCGCCUCCCCCGGGCCUCCCACUAGGGGCUUCACAGCCGCAGUGCCCCCCCGUCGCCCCCACCCUCACUCCUGCGUCUUCCCGAGCUCGCCCCCUCCCGUUUUCCCAGACUCCCCUCGUGCUUUCGGGUAGCCACCCAAACACCCCCUCCCGCGCCCGCCGCGGGGAUU
Long non-coding RNA from Sapajus apella (tufted capuchin), 910 nucleotides. RefSeq lists it as uncharacterized. The transcript has 3 exons. NCBI's taxonomy places the organism in Eukaryota, Metazoa, Chordata, Mammalia, Primates, Cebidae. The record is from RefSeq and is a predicted model, not a curated record.